UACGGAGGGGGCUAGCGUUGUUCGGAAUUACUGGGCGUAAAGCGCGCGUAGGCGGCUUUGUAAGUUAGAGGUGAAAGCCCGGAGCUCAACUCCGGAACUGCCUUUAAGACUGCAUCGCUAGAAUCAUGGAGAGGUGAGUGGAAUUCCGAGUGUAGAGGUGAAAUUCGUAGAUAUUCGGAAGAACACCAGUGGCGAAGGCGACUCACUGGACAUGUAUUGACGCUGAGGUGCGAAAGCGUGGGGAGCAAACGGG
This 253-nucleotide ribosomal RNA is filed under the name uncultured bacterium. RNAcentral describes it as "partial 16S ribosomal RNA". It matches the Rfam family "Bacterial small subunit ribosomal RNA", at positions 524 to 776 of the family's 1533-position model. The record is from RNAcentral.